AUUGAACGCUGGCGGCAGGCCUAACACAUGCAAGUCGAACGAGUGGCGGACGGGUGAGUAAUGUCUGGGAAACUGCCUGAUGGAGGGGGAUAACUACUGGAAACGGUAGCUAAUACCGCAUACCAUCAGAUGUGCCCAGAUGGGAUUAGCUAGUUGGUGGGGUAACGGCUCACCAAGGCGACGAUCCCUAGCUGGUCUUAGAGGAUGACCAGCCAAACUGGAACUGAGACACGGUCCAGACUACUACGGGAGGCAGCAGUGGGGAAGAUUGCACAAUGGGCGCAAGCCUGAUGCAGGCAUGCCGCGUGUAUGAAGAAGGCCUUCGGGUUGUAAAGUACUUUCAGCGAGGAGGCGUUACUCGCAGAAGAAGCACCGGCGAACUCCGUGCCAGCCGCCGCGGUAAUAC
Molecule: ribosomal RNA, 406 nt
Filed under: uncultured bacterium
Lineage: Bacteria
Description: partial 16S ribosomal RNA
Rfam family: Bacterial small subunit ribosomal RNA
Source: RNAcentral